RNAcentral lists this ribosomal RNA (492 nucleotides) under uncultured bacterium. Its description in RNAcentral is "partial 16S ribosomal RNA". It matches the Rfam family "Bacterial small subunit ribosomal RNA", at positions 29 to 507 of the family's 1533-position model. The record is from RNAcentral.
AGUGAACGCUGGCGGUAGGCCUAACACAUGCAAGUCGAACGGCAGCACAGUAAGAGCUUGCUCUUACGGGUUGCGAGUGGCGGACGGGUGAGGAAUACAUCGGAAUCUACUUUUUCGUGGGGGAUAACGUAGGGAAACUUACGCUAAUACCGCAUACGACCUACGGGUGAAAGCAGUGGAUCUUCGGACCUUUCGCGAUUGAAUGAGCCGAUUUCGGAUUAGCUAGUUGGCGGGGUAAAGGCCCACCAAGGCGACGAUCCGUAGCUGGUCUGAGAGGAUGAUCAGACACACUGGAACUGAGACACGGUCCAGACUCCUACGGGAGGAAGCAGUGGGGAAUAUUGGACAAUGGGCGCAAGCCUGAUCCAGCCAUACCGCGUGGGUGAAGAAGGCCUUCGGGUUGUAAAGCCCUUUUGUUGGGAAAGAAAAGCAGCAGGUUAAUACCCCGCUGUUCUGACGGUACCCAAAGAAUAAGCACCGGCUAACUUCGUG